RNAcentral lists this ribosomal RNA (407 nucleotides) under uncultured bacterium. Its description in RNAcentral is "partial 16S ribosomal RNA". It matches the Rfam family "Bacterial small subunit ribosomal RNA", at positions 30 to 526 of the family's 1533-position model. The record is from RNAcentral.
AUUGAACGCUGGCGGCAGGCCUAACACAUGCAAGUCGAGCGGAGCGGCGGACGGGUGAGUAAUGCCUAGGAAUCUGCCUGGUAGUGGGGGAUAACGUCCGGAAACGGGCGCUAAUACCGCAUACUAUCAGAUGAGCCUAGGUCUGAUUAGCUAGUUGGUAAGGUAACGGGUUACCAAGGCGACGAUCCCUAGCUGGUCUGAGAGGAUGAUCAGUCACACGGGGACUGAGACACGGCCCAGACUCCUACGGGAGGCAGCAGUGGGGAAUAUUGGACAAUGGGCGGAAGCCUGAUGCAGCCAUGCCGAGUGUAUGAAGAAGGCCUUAGGGUUGUAAAGUACUUUCAGCGGGGAGGCGUUACCCGAAGAAUAAGCACCGGCUAACUCCGUGCCAGCAGCCGCGGUAAUAC